Molecule: unclassified non-coding RNA, 345 nt
Filed under: soil metagenome
Description: partial contains 5.8S ribosomal RNA, internal transcribed spacer 2, and large subunit ribosomal RNA
Rfam family: 5.8S ribosomal RNA (bases 1-120)
Source: RNAcentral
GAUGAAGAACGUAGCGAAAUGCGAUAAGUAAUGUGAAUUGCAGAAUUCCGUGAAUCAUCGAAUCUUUGAACGCACAUUGCGCCCUCUGGUAUUCCGGGGGGCAUGCCUGUCCGAGCGUCAUUUGCAACCCUCAAGCCCGGCUUGUGUGAUGGGUGCCGUCCCCUACGGGACGCACCCCGAAGGCAAUGGCGGCGUCGCGGUUAUCCGAUCAGCCAAAGUGUAUGGGGCUUUGUCACUCACUUUACGGCCCGGACCGGCGCCAGUCCGAAUCAAUCUUUUUUCUAAAGUUGACCUCGGAUCAGGUAGGGAUACCCGCUGAACUUAAGCAUAUCAAUAAGCGGAGGA